RNAcentral lists this ribosomal RNA (802 nucleotides) under uncultured bacterium. Its description in RNAcentral is "bacterial SSU rRNA". It matches the Rfam family "Bacterial small subunit ribosomal RNA", at positions 8 to 796 of the family's 1533-position model. The record is from RNAcentral.
AGAGUUUGAUCAUGGCUCAGGACGAACGCUGGCGGCGUGCUUAACACAUGCAAGUGGAGCGACGAACCAGGGCUUGCCCUGGGGCAAAGCCGCGAACGGGUGAGUAACACGUGGGUAACCUGCCCCGAUGACCGGGACAACCCGAGGAAACUCGGGCUAAUACCGGAUGUGGAUCUCUCACAUCAGUGAGUUGUCUAAAGGUAGCUUCGGCUUCCGCAUUGGGAUGGGCCCGCGGCCCAUUAGCUUGUUGGUGAGGUAACGGCUUACCAAGGCUUCGAUGGGUAGCUGGUCUGAGAGGACGAUCAGCCACACUGGGACUGAGACACGGCCCAGACUCCUACGGGAGGCAGCAGUGGGGAAUCUUGCGCAAUGCGCGAAAGCGUGACGCAGCAACGCCGCGUGGGGGAAGAAGGCCUUCGGGUUGUAAACCCCUUUCAGGAGGGACGAAGGUCAUACGGUGAAUAGCCGGCAUGACUGACGGUACCUCCAGAAGAAGCCCCGGCUAACUACGUGCCAGCAGCCGCGGUAAUACGUAGGGGGCAAGCGUUGUCCGGAAUUAUUGGGCGUAAAGAGCGCGUAGGCGGUCCGGUAAGUCGGCUGUGAAAGUCAAGGGCUCAACCCUUGAAAGCCGGCCGAUACUGUCGGACUAGAGUCCGGAAGAGGCGAGUGGAAUUCCCGGUGUAGCGGUGAAAUGCGCAGAUAUCGGGAGGAACACCAAUGGCGAAGGCAGCUCGCUGGGACGGUACUGACGCUGAGGCGCGAAAGCGUGGGGAGCAAACAGGAUUAGAUACCCNNGUAGUCC